GGGCACCUAUCUCAAUUGGAUAGAGCUCCGCCAUUUGUGCGGAAGGACGCGGGUUCGGUUCCCGCUGUGUCCU
RNAcentral lists this transfer RNA (73 nucleotides) under Phytophthora lateralis MPF4. Its description in RNAcentral is "tRNA-Lys for anticodon UUU". It matches the Rfam family "tRNA". Rfam says of the family: Transfer RNA (tRNA) molecules are approximately 80 nucleotides in length. Their secondary structure includes four short double-helical elements and three loops (D, anti-codon, and T loops). Lineage: Eukaryota; Oomycota; Peronosporomycetes; Peronosporales; Peronosporaceae. The record is from RNAcentral.